Long non-coding RNA from Passer domesticus (house sparrow), 853 nucleotides. RefSeq lists it as uncharacterized. The transcript has 5 exons. The record is from RefSeq and is a predicted model, not a curated record. Lineage: Eukaryota; Metazoa; Chordata; Aves; Passeriformes; Passeridae.
GGAGACAAGCUCCUGGUACCUACGGCAGGAUCAGUCUCUGAACAAAUAAUUCUGCUCUUCCCUGUUUUCAGCGUUUCUGUGGUUCCCUCCCUCAUUUUACAGCUGGGAGCACCAGGGACAGGGAAGAAGGAAGUCCUGCAGCCGGGCCGGUUUCGUUGCUUUAAGCAACAGUGAUGUUUUUUCUGCUUUUCUGAAGGGUGUUUGUCCUGCCUCUAGCUGUUCAAAGUCCUAAUAUUGUUAUUGCAGAGGAAGGCAUUUGACACAGCUCCAGAGCAGUCACAGCCAACACCUCCAUGGCCAUGGCAUUUUGGGCAAGUGGUUUGAACAAGUUAUAUCCCAGGACCAUUGGCUCUGGAAGAGAAGAUACUGCCAGCUGUGAGCACAGUAAUAAGCUUUCACAGGCCUGAUCCAAGCUUCACUUCCAGCAAAGAUUUGUCCUGAGGGGGUGAAGCAGAGGCCAAGCAUCCAGAAUGUAACUCUAUCAGUUCUCCAGCACACUGCUACGUUACCAAGAAGGAUCAGAGCACAAAGCACAUCUGUCCCCCAGUGCUUCCAUCCAGCUCCUUCCAUCAGAGCAGAAAAAUCAGGAGAUUUGUCUCAGAUAUCUGAGGCCAGACAGCAGGUCUGUUCCCCUCCCCAAAUGUACAAGACAUGCAAGGACAUACAAAGCUCUUCUCAUCAGCCUCAUGCCAGCACUCGGUGACCAGAUACUUUUCCUUGACUCUAAAGAUGUACAGUACCUCAAAAUGUGUUUGUUUGAUGGAAUAACUGUGAUUUUGUUCCUUUUUGUAAAUUUUCCCACACUCAAGAUAAUGGAAGAAAAGACAUCAAGAGAUACAAAAACAGCUGUGCA